UUCGUUUAGUUCUUAGGCCGUAACGAUAAUGUUUCUUCUUCUUCUUUUAUGGGCUUUUAAUGAGUUGUUGCUUUGUGACCUACAAAUAAUAUUAAUUGGGCUUCACAUAAAAUACAAAAAUAUAUCUCAAUUUUUAUUUGUCUUCUUCGAUAGUCUCCACUGCAGAUUCUAGGGUUAACGUAUCUGCUUACGUCAGGCUACCAUGGAGGUUCUAGAGUGUUGUCCGAGACAAAUAUUCGUUUGGAUACUUUGUGUCGAUUGCCGUUCCUGUAGUUUCGGUUGCGAUUCAUCUCCUCUGAUUCGUUACGGGAUGAGGUGAAUCAUCGCCAUUAACAUCUUUGUUAACUCUUUGGACCCACGCAAACCACGAUUAGUCAUUCAUUGCUCCUUAUCUCCCUCACAGUCGGUGUAAUCUUGAUAUAUAAAGAGAUGGGAAGAUCGUUACUUUCUUCUAAAUCAUUGGGAUCUUCGCAAACCGAUCGACCCGGAAUGGCAACCUUUUCCCAUCUGCUUGCGGCGUUGAAGGCAGGACGUUGUAACACCACCGUCAAAGUUCGGUAUCUUUAUCGACAUGCUCCUCCUAUUACCUGUGACUAGAAAACUUACUUAUUAAAGCAUUCCAUGCAAUCUUCACACAUGCAAAGAGGUGGAACUGCGACUAAAAAAGGAAACAGUAUUUCUUUCUGAUUUGAAGACGGGAUAAUGCUCCUCCACCGUUCAAGUGUGAUUGCUCCGUUUUUGGGAGGCCGGGAACGUCAGACGCGGUAUUGAACUCAUGGAAUGGAUGCCCACAGGUUUAACGUCAGUGAAGGUUUUGAAAAUCUCACAGCUAUGGAUCUUCAUCAGUAAUUUCUUGGCUAUUUCAACCCACUGAACCACGAUAGCUCAUUCAGUGACUCUUAUCCCUCAUCAAUCAGUAAAUCUCCACUUAUAAAAAAGGUGUUUUGAAAAGGUUAGUGGAGGAGACGGUGGUGGUGGUAGCCAAUAUCAUGACGGCACUGAAACUGAUAGGAAGAAGAAACGUUACCAUCGUCAUACCGCUCAACAUAUUCAACGACUUGAAUCGUAUUUUCUUCUCUCUCUUUUUUUUUUUUUUUUUUUGAUUCAGACACUCUUAUAAUGGUUUGAAUCUCUUGCAGGAGUUUCAAGGAAUGUCCUCAUCCAGAUGAUAAGCAGAUGAACCAACUUAGCAGAGAAUUGGGUUUGGCUCCAAGACAAAUCAAGUUCUGUUCCAGAACAGAAGAACUCAGCUUAAGGCCCAACAUGAGAGAGCAGAUAACAAUGCACUAAAGGCAGAGAACGACAAGAUUCGAUGUGAGAACAUAGCCAUUAGAGAAACACUCAAGCAUGCUAUAUGCCUUAACUGUGGAGGUCCUCCCGUUAGUGAAGAUCCUUACUUCGAUGAGCAUAAGCUCCGGAUUGAAAUGCACAUCUUAGAGACGAGCUUGAAAGUAUGUCAACGGUUGCAUGAAAGUACAUGGGAAGACCAAUCUCCUCCCUUCUCUCAACGCUACACCCAAUGCACAUCUCACCGUUGGAUCUGUCCAUGACUGGUGCUUCACUGGAUUUUGAUCUUCUUCCAGGGAGUUCUAUGCAUUCUCAGCCUAAUAAUUUGGCUACUAUAUCAGACAUGGACAAGCCUCUUAUGAACGACAUUGCUUUGACUGCGAUGGAAGAACUGCGAUGGAAGAACUGCUUAGUCUUUUUUUAACACAAACGAACCUCUCUGGACAAGAGCUGAUGGCGGCGGCGGUAGAAGCGUUCUAAACUUGAUGCUCAGGUUUAUGUGUUUGCAGAGUUUGACUAUGAAACCGGUGCUGGUCAAUGCUUCCUCAGUAAGUAAGAUGCUCAAAUAAUAGUGUGUUAGUUACGAUCAUGAAAAGCAACAAAAUCAUGGUCUUUUAGAUUCUCAAUGGUGCAUGUAUGAUAGUAUUUAAGUUCAGAAGAUUAUACAGAGACUGUCUCAGAUUUUUGAAGAAUUAUACAAUCAGUUUAUGGUUACAUGGUGUGAACCUCUCGCACUAAUUAUAUAUUUGUCCUUCAGGCUCA
Brassica napus (rape) is the source of this 2049-nucleotide long non-coding RNA. RefSeq lists it as uncharacterized. The transcript is spliced from 8 exons. The record is from RefSeq and is a predicted model, not a curated record. NCBI's taxonomy places the organism in Eukaryota, Viridiplantae, Streptophyta, Magnoliopsida, Brassicales, Brassicaceae.